RNAcentral lists this ribosomal RNA (253 nucleotides) under uncultured bacterium. Its description in RNAcentral is "partial 16S ribosomal RNA". It matches the Rfam family "Bacterial small subunit ribosomal RNA", at positions 524 to 776 of the family's 1533-position model. The record is from RNAcentral.
UACAGAGGGUGCGAGCGUUAAUCGGAAUUACUGGGCGUAAAGCGCGCGUAGGCGGCUUUGCAAGCCGGAUGUGAAAUCCCCGGGCUUAACCUGGGAACUGCAUUCGGGACUGCAUUGCUAGAGUAUGGGAGAGGGAAGUGGAAUUUCAGGUGUAGCGGUGAAAUGCGUAGAUAUCUGAAGGAACAUCAGUGGCGAAAGCGGGUCUCUGGGCCGAUACUGACGCUGAGGAGCGAAAGCGUGGGGAGCGAACAGG